GAUGAACGCUGGCGGCGUGCCUAACACAUGCAAGUCGAACGAAGCACUGUAAACGGAGAUUCGUCGAAGUUUGCUUUGACUGAGUGGCGGACGGGUGAGUAACGCGUGGAUAACCUGCCUCACACUGGGGGAUAACAGUUAGAAAUGGCUGCUAAUACCGCAUAAGCGCACAGUACCGCAUGGUACGAUGUGAAAAACCCAGGUGGUGUGAGAUGGAUCCGCGUCUGAUUAGCCAGUUGGCGGGGUAACGGCCCACCAAAGCGACGAUCAGUAGCCGACCUGAGAGGUGACGGCCACAUUGGGACUGAGACACGGCCAAACUCUACGGGAGGCAGCAGUGGGGAAUAUUGCACAAAUGGCGAAGCCUGAUGCAGCGACGCGCGUGAGUGAAGAAGUAUCUCGGUAUGUAAAGCUCUAUCAGCAGGGAGAAAAUGAC
This 436-nucleotide ribosomal RNA is filed under the name uncultured bacterium. RNAcentral's name for it is "bacterial SSU rRNA". It matches the Rfam family "Bacterial small subunit ribosomal RNA", at positions 28 to 454 of the family's 1533-position model. The record is from RNAcentral.